Molecule: RNA transcript, 1065 nt
Organism: Suricata suricatta (meerkat)
Lineage: Eukaryota; Metazoa; Chordata; Mammalia; Carnivora; Herpestidae
Gene: NUDT16L1
Gene name: nudix hydrolase 16 like 1
Exons: 4
Source: RefSeq, a predicted model, not a curated record
AUUGGCCGGGCCUGACGGGGGCGGGCCCGCGCAUGCGCUUAAGGAGCGGCGCCCCAGCCGCGCCGGGGUAGUGCCAAGAUGUCGGCGGCAGUGCCGGAGCUGAAGCAGAUUAGCCGGGUGGAGGCUAUGCGCCUGGGGCCGGGCUGGAGCCACUCGUGCCACGCUAUGCUGUACGCUGCCAAUCCCGGGCAGCUUUUCGGCCGCAUCCCCAUGCGCUUCUCGGUGCUGAUGCAGAUGCGCUUCGACGGGCUGCUGGGUUUCCCCGGGGGCUUCGUGGACCGGCGCUUUUGGUCUCUGGAGGACGGUCUGAACCGGGUGCUGGGCCUGGGCCUGGGCUGCCUGCGCCUCACGGAGGCCGACUAUCUGAGCUCGCACCUGACCGAGGGCCCGCACCGCGUCGUGGCGCACCUGUACGCACGGCAGCUGACGCUGGAGCAGCUGCACGCCGUGGAGAUCAGCGCGGUGCAUUCGCGCGACCACGGCCUGGAGGUGGGGCCGCCGUCCGGGCCCCGCCCCCCGCCCCGGGGUUUGGCUCUGGCCCCGUGGAAGGCACCGAUGGGUGCUGGGGCUUGUGCGGGUCCCGCUUUACACGCAAAAAGACCGAGUCGGCGGCUUUCCCAACUUCCUGAGCAACGCCUUUACCAGCACUGCCAAGUACCAGUUGCUCUUUGCUCUCAAGGUGCUCCACAUGAUGCCCGAGGAGAAGCUGGCUGAGGCUUUGGCUGCUGCCACCGAGAAGCAGAAGCAAGCCCUGGAGAAGCUCCUCCCAUCAUCCUCCUGAGAGGCAGCUCCUGGAUGCGGUGUGGAAGCAGUGGCCCCAGUGUGCAGGAUGACCACCGCAGAGCCACCACCGAUAGGCAGGUCACCACUGGCACUCGCCGAGGGCCCUGUGUCUGGAAACUCCUCAGAGAAGCUCACCAAGUUUCCAUGGCGCCUGCCUGGCCUGGUAAGGAGAGCUAUGCUCGGGCCCAGCCUGAGCAUCUAUCCCACCUCAGAGCCUCAGCGAAGUGGCCAGCGCGUGUGGGCAAAGGCACUUCGUUCUGUAAAUAAAAUACCUGUACCCUG